Molecule: long non-coding RNA, 1140 nt
Filed under: Elaeis guineensis (African oil palm)
Lineage: Eukaryota; Viridiplantae; Streptophyta; Magnoliopsida; Arecales; Arecaceae
Description: long non-coding RNA (EGUI_LNC018586)
Source: RNAcentral
CCUGAGAAGUUGGGCUCCGACCAGAAGCUAUACUGCCAACACUGUGAAGUGAGGCAAGACUCGGUGAAGCAGAUGUCCAUCCGAAAGCUUCCAUAUGUCCUGUGCUUCCACGUCAAAAGAUUUGAGCAUUCCUUGAUCAGAAGAACAUCAAAAAAGAUAGACCAGAAUUUGCAAUUCCCCUUUUCGCUCGACAUGAUGCCAUACCUAUCUUCAUCCAUCAUAAGGAACAGGUUUGGCAAUAGGAUCUUUGCUUUUGAAGGUGAUGAAUCGGACAUGUCGAGUGAAUUUUCUUCCGAGUUUGAGGUGUUUGCUGUCAUCACCCAUAGCGGAAGGUUGGAAUCAGGCCAUUAUGUCACUUAUCUUCGGCUAAGAGACCAAUGGUAUAAGUGUGAUGAUGCUUGGAUCACCCAAGUGACCGAAGGUGUAGUGCGAGCUUCACAGGUCUACAUGAUGUAUUAUUUGCAGAAGCAUGGGAAGUGAACUAUUUCUUAUCGCUUCAUGUUAUGGGGGAUGACCUAACGGCCGUGCCCAUGAGAACCACGCUCUCCUGGUUGCUUGCAAAGAAGAACAGUAGAAAUAACUGAUUGAAGACCUCUGCUAAGAGAAGGUGAUGACAUGAAUAUAAAGAGAAAAUGUAGUCCUUUGGUUACCAAUUGAUGAUUCUUUGAUUGCUGAAGUAUGAUGCCAUCUACUCUGUACCCCAAAAAAAGGCUUCAUAUUUUAUAACAAUUCUUUCAUCACUUUUGCUUUGCAUUCUUCGGUUCAGAUUCAGGGUUAGCAUGUUCUACGGUGGAACUGUAUCAGAAGCAUGACAGGAAAACAGUCUUAAGUAUCACUAUGAUCAUCUUAAAAUUGAGACCUAUGCCAUAGUUGUCUGUUUAUGGGAUUUUGCUGUGGUAAUUAAUAUAUAUUGCACAGAUGGUAAGCGAUGUCCAAGGUUGGUAGACUGGUUUGCUUGAGAAUGGUCACUUAAGAGUCCCUUGUUCCUGUCAGCCAGCUUCCCCUUGUGGAGAACGCUCGGAUUGUUAGCUACGGCAGCAGACUGGUUGCUUCAGAAAGCAUCGAAGAACGUUUUUGCCACCAAGAAGGCUCUUAUUAUUGGUUUGGACUAAACAAUAAUGAUUCAUUAAAUCCUAUCAU